RNAcentral lists this non-coding RNA (129 nucleotides) under Lepisosteus oculatus (spotted gar). RNAcentral describes it as "Eukaryotic large subunit ribosomal RNA". It matches the Rfam family "Eukaryotic large subunit ribosomal RNA", at positions 3018 to 3148 of the family's 3401-position model. The record is from Rfam by way of RNAcentral. Lineage: Eukaryota; Metazoa; Chordata; Actinopteri; Semionotiformes; Lepisosteidae.
AGUAAUCCAGUUCGGCACAAGAGGAACCGCAGGUUCAGACAUGGUUUCUGCUCUUGGCUGUGGAGCCAGCAGAGUGAAGCUUCCAUCUGUGGGGUUAGGACUGAUCGCCUCCAUAUUAGAAUCCCUCCU